UUAACCUACGGGGGGCAGCAGUGGGGAAUAUUGCACAAUGGGGGAAACCCUGAUGCAGCGACGCCGCGUGAGUGAUGAAGUAUUUCGGUAUGUAAAGCUCUAUCAGCAGGGAAGAAAAUGACGGUACCUGACUAAGAAGCACCGGCUAAAUACGUGCCAGCAGCCGCGGUAAUACGUAUGGUGCAAGCGUUAUCCGGAUUUACUGGGUGUAAAGGGAGCGUAGACGGAGAGGCAAGUCUGAUGUGAAAACCCGGGGCUCAACCCCGGGACUGCAUUGGAAACUGUUUUUCUAGAGUGUCGGAGAG
RNAcentral lists this ribosomal RNA (305 nucleotides) under uncultured bacterium. RNAcentral's name for it is "bacterial SSU rRNA". It matches the Rfam family "Bacterial small subunit ribosomal RNA", at positions 334 to 656 of the family's 1533-position model. The record is from RNAcentral.